CUGAGGUUACACAAAACGGUCAUAACAGAGGCCAGACCUGUUCUCAAAUACCACGCGCUGGAGGAGGUAGAAUACCCUGUGGGUCCUUGACUGGCUCAGGUGGCUUAGAGAAGGGCAAAACAGUAGCUUUAGAGACGACAGAAAUCACCUGCAGAAGGAACAGACUCUUGAGUGGAGAUCAUUACAGAAACUCACAAAACUGAGGACAAAAUCACGGAACACCAGGGAGCCGGGCUGGCCAUACUGUGCUUUGAGCAGCCUGUGGUAAACAUCUGGCUGGAGCCUAGCUUUUUUUUUUUUUUUUUUUUUUUCUGCAGAGCUGGUUAGAUAAAGAGAUCAAGAUAGAUCACGGCUGGAGACUGUGUUUCCUAAGAAUGGAUGAUAAGCAUUAGCAGAUAAAAAAAAAUGUAAUCAAUCAAGUAAUGGAACAAGGUAGGAAUGAGAGGAAUGUUUUUCAAUUUAAAAUCUAGUGUAAAUUUUGCCCUUAACAAUAUCGGAGAAAAUGUAAAGAAGCAGACGGAAUUCCUUAAAUACACAGUUAAGGAAGAAAAGUACUGCUUAAGGAGAUGCGUAAAUGGUUUCAGACAUGAAUAUAUGUAUGUAUGUAUGUAUGUAUGUAUAGGGUUUUCCCUUUCCUGUUAGGAUUAAGCUAUUUUUUUAGAGUAAAUGUAUCAGGAGUGGAUUACUUUGUUAAUAACAACAACCUACUUUUUGUAGCUCUUUAAAAAAUAACCUUAAAAAGUGCACAAGAAGAGAUGUUUGUUUUAGAAAAACAUGAAUAAUAUUUUUUAACUUUUCUGAAUGCUAGUGGUCUAAUAGAACUAAUAGAGUUGGGGUGCCUGGAUGGCUCAGUCGUUAAGUGUCUGCCUUCGGCUCAGGCGUGAUUCCGGGGUCCUGGGAUCGAGCCCCGCAUCGGGCUCCCUGCUAAGCGGGGAGCCUGCUUCUCCCUCUCCCACUCCCCCUGCUUGUGUUCCCUCUCUCGCUGUCUCUCUCUGUGUCAAAAAAAAAAAAAAAAAGAACUGAUAGAGUCAUGGUCACUAAUGGGGAAUGUUCCCAAAGGCCUCAGAAAAUACAGUAAUGAAAGAGUGAGACAACAAAUAUCAAAGUCUGAAAACUUCCAACUCUCCAUCCACCAACCACACCCUUCCCAUGCCCACCCCACCCCCUCUAGGGAUAUGUCAAUCUCCCAACACCUGAUGGACAGUGCAAGAGUCAGUGUUGAUGUUUAAGAGGCUGAAGCAGAUUUAGAAAGAAUGAAAGUUCGAUAGUUAU
Long non-coding RNA from Mirounga angustirostris (Northern elephant seal), 1272 nucleotides. RefSeq lists it as uncharacterized. The record is from RefSeq and is a predicted model, not a curated record. The transcript has 3 exons. Lineage: Eukaryota; Metazoa; Chordata; Mammalia; Carnivora; Phocidae.